Molecule: ribosomal RNA, 195 nt
Filed under: Shewanella chilikensis
Lineage: Bacteria; Pseudomonadati; Pseudomonadota; Gammaproteobacteria; Alteromonadales; Shewanellaceae
Description: partial 16S ribosomal RNA
Rfam family: Bacterial small subunit ribosomal RNA
Source: RNAcentral
GGUGACGAGCGGCGGACGGGUGAGUAAUGCCUGGGAAUUUGCCCAUUUGUGGGGGAUAACAGUUGGAAACGACUGCUAAUACCGCAUACGCCCUACGGGGGAAAGCAGGGGAACUUCGGUCCUUGCGCUGAUGGAUAAGCCCAGGUGGGAUUAGCUAGUAGGUGAGGUAAUGGCUCACCUAGGCAACGAUCCCUA